Molecule: long non-coding RNA, 11959 nt
Filed under: Hordeum vulgare
Lineage: Eukaryota; Viridiplantae; Streptophyta; Magnoliopsida; Poales; Poaceae
Description: long non-coding RNA (HVUL_LNC008737)
Source: RNAcentral
ACCACCAACCUCCGGAGCACCGUCACGCUAACGGAGAUCUCAUCUACCUCUCCGUAUCUCUUGCUGGAUCAAGAAGGCCGAGAUCAUCGUCGAGCUGUACGUGUCCUGAAUGCGGAGGUGUCGUCCGUUCGGCACUAGAUCGUGGGACGGAUCGCGGGACAGUUCGCGGGACGGAUCGAGGGACGUGAGGACGUUCCACUACAUCAAACGCGUUUUCUUAACGCUUCUGCUAUGCGAUCUACAAGGGUACGUAGAUCGAAUAUCCCCUCUCGUAGAUGGACAUCACCAUGAUAGGUCUUCGUGCGCGUAGGAAAUUUUUUGUUUCCCAUGCGACGUUCCCCAACAGUGGCAUCAUGAACUAGGUUCAUGUGUAGAUGUCUUCUCGAGUAGAACACAAAACUUUUUGUGGGCGGUGAUGUGUGUUUUUAUGCCCUCCUUAGUCUUUUCUUGAUUCCGCAGUAUUGUUGGAUUGAAGCGGCUUGGACCGACAUUACUCGUACGCUUACGAGAGACUAGUUUGAUCGCUACGAGUAACCCCGUUGCUCAAAGAUGACUGGCAAGUGUCAGUUUCUCCAACUUUAGUUGAAUCGGAUUUGACCGAGGAGGUCCUUGUAUAAGGUUAAAUAGCAAUUCAUAUAUCUCCAUUGUGGUGUUUGCGUAAGUAAGAUGCGAUCCUACUAGAUACCCAUGGUCACCACGUAAAACAUGCAACAACAAAAUUAGAGGACGUCUAACUUGUUUUUGCAGGANNNNNNNNNNNNNNNNNNNNNNNNNNNNNNNNNNNNNNNNNNNNNNNNNNNNNNNNNNNNNNNNNNNNNNNNNNNNNNNNNNNNNNNNNNNNNNNNNNNNGGGAGAGGAUCAACACACAAAGCCUACAAGAUGUACCGAGAGGGAUCAAGUGAUCCCAUGGUAUGGAUUUGUCCAUAGGCACUUCUUGAAGUCCAUCUGUUGGGUUCAAGGAGUUUAUAUGAUGACCAAGAUGGUAUCCAAGGUAUUAUCCAAAGAAUGGUCAUAGAGAGACAUGGUUGAUCAAGAUCUCAGACAAAGAGUAAAUCAAGAUGAUCAACACACAAAGCGUACAAGAUGUACCGAGAGGGAUCAAGUGAUCCCAUGGUAUGGUAAGCAUUGUCCAUUACGUGUUUGUGUACUAACCCAUGAUCUUCGUGAGAGUUCUAUGUGGGGGUUAGGUGUGUUUACAUGGGCUUGCGUCAAAAGGAAGAUCUCAUACAACCCAUGGAGUAUGACGUCAAGUUGUGAUCAUCAUCAAUGGUUGAUCAAGAUCUCAGACAAAGAGUAAACCAAGAUGAUCAACACACAAAGUGUACAAGAUGUACCGAGAGGGAUCAAGUGAUCCCAUGGUAUGGUAAGCAUUGUCCAUUACGUGUUUGUGUACUAACCCAUGGUCUUUGUGAGAGUUCUAUGUGGGGGUUAGGUGUGUUUCCAUGAGCUUGCGUCAAAGGGAAGAUCUCAUACAACCCAUGGAGUAUGACGUCAAGUUGUGAUCGUCAUCAAGAUUGCGACGUGCAAGUUCAAGUGGAUCAGCAUGAAGAUAGCAUGCUUGAAGCUUGCCGUCCAUUAUGGUGGCAAUGGACUUGUGAAGAUAUGCUGAAGAGUGGCUCACCCAUAGUGAGUAUGGGGGAGCAAUCAACUAGUAUUCAUCAAGCCAACACAAUCAAGAAAGGUGGUCCAUCUUGAGGAAGCCAAGAUCAUCAUCGUCUAGCUCAAGAGGAUGAGGUGCAAGGUAUAGGUUUGCCCUUGAUAGGUUUUCUGGUUAGGAUAGAUUGUUGUUCUAUCAAGGGGGGCUCUCAAGUGAGUAGCUUGAUCGUAUCGUUCGUUGAGAGCUCAAACCAUUUGCAUCAUUGCAUCAUACUUCUUGGUUCUUAGUUGGUGUUUCUCUUUGUGAGUUUUAGAGCUUAUGGUCAUCUUCAUUACAAGCUCGAUUUCAUCGAAAACGGAGUCCAUAUGCAUCUACUAUGAUGUUUUCGAUGUUGGAGUUUUUGCCGGUUCUUCAUUCAUAGAGAUCUCACAUCUCUAUAUCUUUGGCAUAUUCAUAACCGCAUGGUCGCUGUUUGGAUAGCCCUUGUCGUCCUGAAUCCAACAAGCUUGGGUUUGCUCGAUUCGGAGCUCGUAUGCGAAAGUUAUGGCUGUUUCAGUGGCGAGCGGUAGUACCGCUGGACCUAGCGGUAGUACCGCUCGACCUAGCGGUAGUACCGCUAGAGUUGGCGGUAGUACCGCUGGCCCUAGCGGUAGUACCGCUGGCUCGCGGUAGUACCGCCCCUGGUCAGCGGUAGUACCGCCCCAGGAGCUUAGUACCGCCUGCCUAGCGGUUGUUCGUGGACGGACCUUUUUGCGAAGACUUUCUUGGCGGUGGUAGUGCCUUUGCACUACCAGGGGCCCAGCGGUAGUACCGCUGGGGCCAGCGGUAGUAUCGCUGGAGUGCCAGCGGUAGUACCGCUAGCUGGCGGUAGUACCGCUGGAGUGACAGCGGUAGUACCGCUGGAGUGCCAGCGGUAGUACCGCUGCAGCCAGCGGUAGUACCGCUGGAGCUCGGGCAGAGAGUGGGGGUAACGGUCUGAUUCUUCCGCCCACUAUAUAAAGGGGGUCUUCUUCCCCCUUGCCUUAUCCAUCUGUUGAGCUCUUGUUCUACCUCCAUUGUUGACAUUCUUAGAGCUUGAUUACUCUCAAUCCCUCCAAUGAUUCUUGCUUUCUCUUGAGGGAAAAGAGAGAGGAGAUCUAGAUCCACAUCUCCACCAAUCACUUUCUCCUCUAUGUGAGGGGAACCCCUUGGAUCUUGAUCUUGGAGUUCUUUGUGAGCUCCUUGUUCUUCCUCUCAUAUUUCUCCAUAGCUUUUGUUGUUGUGGAGGGAUUUGAGUGUGAGGGACUUGACCACUUCGUGUGUUCUUGCCAUUGCAUUAGUUGCAUCGGUUUGAGUUCUCCACGGUAAUACGUGGAAGUGAGAAGUUGAGAAGCUUACUACCUUUGGUACUUAGUACCCUUGAUAUUGUUCUUCGUGGAUGCUUUGGCGUCCUAGAAGCUUGGUGGUGUCUCGGAGCUCAAUCAUUGUGGUGUGAAGCUCCGGGAAGCGUCGGGGUCUCCAAUAAGGUUGUGGAGAUUGCCCCGAGCAAUUUGUACGGGUACCGGUAACCGCCCCCAAGGGUUGCCACGUGUACGGGUUCGGUGACCACCCCCAAGGGUUGCCAUUUGUACGGGUUCGGUGACCGCCCCCAAGGGUUGCCAUUUGUACGGGUUCGGUGACCGCCCUCAAGGGUCCCUUAGUGGAAUCACGGCAUCUUGCAUUGUGCGAGGGCGUGAGGAGAUUACGGUGGCCUUAGUGGCAUCUUGGGGAGCAUUGUGCCUCCACAUCGCUCUAACGGAGAUUAGCAUCCGCAAGGGUGUGAACUUCGGGAUACAUCAUCGUCUCCCCGUGCCUCGGUUAUCUCUUACCCGAACCCUUUACUUAUGCACUUUACUUUGUGAUAGACAUAUUCUUUAUUGUAAUAUAUCUCGCUAUCACUUAGUUGUUUAUCUUGCUUAGCAUAAGUUGUUGGUGCACAUAGGUGAGCCUAGUUGUUGUAGGUUUUGUGCUUGACAUAUUAAACGAUUAGUUUUAUUCCGCAUUUGUUCAAGCCUAAACCUUAACUAUUUUAAAGCGCCUAUUCACCCCCCCCUCUAGGCGACAUCCACGUCCUUUUCACCCGCUCUAGUAAGCCCCCUUCCCUUCCCGCUCCGGUAAGCCCCCCGCCCCCCUCCAAGUGCUGCUGCCCCCCUCCUGGCGCCUAUGCCCUCCUGUCAGGACCUGAGAUGUAUAUGAGUGUAUGAACUAUAGUUGGAAGAUGGGAAGAUCUUUGCAAGUCAUAUGGAUUUCAGGAGGGUAAGGAAAUAACCUUCGAUUUUCGUCCUGAAGAUAAUAUGCCAGGCAACAUCGACAUUUGGGUGGUUGCUGAUAUGCUUCCUGUUUUACCUCCAUGUGAGUUCCUCAACCAUAUUUGUCAAGUAAUUUGCAUUCUAUAUUAAGAAAUAGUUGGUGUUCAUCCAUAUACUAAAUUUGUUAAAUUAUAAUUUACAGCUUAUUUCGUUUCUUCGAGUGAAUUAUGGAAAUUAAUUGACACGACACACUACACGUAUGGAUCACAUCUAACUUGGGAGGAGAAGGAUGUUCUUCUCUACUUUCUUGUUGGUGUCCUGGUUUCUAGGGAUAACUUCCCGUUUAAUUUGGGAAUUGGCCAAAAUUAUACAUUUUACAUGCCACUAGUGCAUAGGUUGAGGCCGGAUGACAUUCGCCGAAAUAUAUUUUUAAGAGUUUCCUAAUAAAGUACGCUCUACUAUUGCAUAAAUGGUGUUGAUUACAUUGCUAACUAGGUUAUUAUUAUAUUCUUCAACAACAACUGCCAAAUGAUGUAGUGCCUCUAUUGAUGCACCCAGAAGGUCAUAUGAAAUUUAAAAGCCCGCUGAGGGAUGAGUUCGAUGCUCCAUACUCGAGUAACCGCAAAUCAAAAUAAAAAAGGCUCCAAAUUGAAACAUGGAGAGAACUAAGGAAGGAUCGCAAGCCACAAGUUGGAGACCGUUGGAUCUCUGUGCUUCAUCAUGGAGACAUAGAUGUUAUUCUGUUUUAUGACAUUAUACCUAGGAGCAAGGACUAGGUCUUAUGAGAGACAAGUUAUUUUGGUUUAUAUUAACUUGACAUGAUCGAUUAGGAUGCAUGCAUAUGAUGACUAUUAUGAUGUUUUUCCGUUUUACAAGAUUUUUUAACUUGGUAUAUGAUUAAGAUGAUGAUGAGUUGUUAGAUGAGUACGUAAGAUGAUGAUGAGUUAUAUGACAUCAUACUUUAUGUGUAUGAUGUGAUGCAUAAAUACUUUAUUAUGAUAUGAUGAAACCACUUUAUAGAGAACGCACAAAUACGUAGGGGGCAUAAAUACGAUGCGAAUUAAAUAUUAAAAGAAGGAAUAUUAGCAGUAGCGCUGGAAUNNNNNNNNNNNNNNNNNNNNNNNNNNNNNNNNNNNNNNNNNNNNNNNNNNNNNNNNNNNNNNNNNNNNNNNNNNNNNNNNNNNNNNNNNNNNNNNNNNNNNNNNNNNNNNNNNNNNNNNNNNNNNNNNNNNNNNNNNNNNNNNNNNNNNNNNNNNNNNNNNNNNNNNNNNNNNNNNNNNNNNNNNNNNNNNNNNNNNNNNNNNNNNNNNNNNNNNNNNNNNNNNNNNNNNNNNNNNNNNNNNNNNNNNNNNNNNNNNNNNNNNNNNNNNNNNNNNNNNNNNNNNNNNNNNNNNNNNNNNNNNNNNNNNNNNNNNNNNNNNNNNNNNNNAUUCCAGCGCUACUGCUAACAUAGAUACCAGUAGCGCCUUCAAUCGAGCGCUACUUCUAACAGGUUAGCUGUAGCGCGUUAGCAGUAGAGUAGGCCCUAGCGCUACAAGUAAGGGUAAAACCAACGCUGCUGGUAGCCUUUCUCCUACUUGUGUUUGCCAACGAGAGUGCCGACAACUCUAGCCGGCAGCAGGGAGUUGGUGGGUGUGCUGAGGGUGGAGAUCACCAGGAGCAGACACAAGGAGACAUUUCCCCGCUAAUACGUCUCCGUCGUAUCUAUAAUUUUUUAUUGUUCCAUGCCAAUAUUAUACAACUUUCACAUAUUUUUGGAAAUAUUUUAUAUGAUUUGUUGGACUAACAUAUUGAUCCAGUGCCAACUGCCAGUUCCUGUUUGUUGCAUGUUUUUUGUUUUGCAGAAUAUCCAUAUUAAACAAAGUCCAAAGGUGAUAAAAAUGUAUGGAGAAUUACUUUGGAAUAUAUAUGAUUUUUGGGAGGUGGAAUCAACGUAAACGGAGGCCCACGGCCUCCACUACCCAACAUGGCGCAACCCAUAUCCCCUCGUGCGGCCUGCCCACUAGUGGCCACACCGUGAGUCAGGUUGGGCUAUUCUUCGGGCGCAAGAAAUAUAAAUUACUAAAAAAAAUCAGCCCGAUCAGUGAUACGGUUCUCUAGGAAUUUAAGAAAUGGUGAAGGGCUAGAAACCAGGAGCGUGAAACAAUAGAGAACAGAGAGGGAGAUCCUCCGCCGCCAUGGAGUCCAUGAACCAGAGGGGGAACUCUCCUUCCAUCUAGGAGGGAGGCCAAGGAAGAAGAAUAAGGAGUGGGGCUCUCUCCCCUCUCUCUGGGUGGUGCCGGAGUGCCGACGGGGCAAGGAGCAUGACGGUGAUCUACAUCAACAAUCUUGCCGCUGUCAACACCAACUCUAUCCCCCUCUAUUCAGUGGUGUGACACCUCUUUUCUCACUUUAACUCUCUACUUGAACAUGGUGCUCAACACUACAUACUAUUUCCCAAUGAUAUAUGGCUAUCCUAUGAUGUUUGAGUAGAUUCGUUUUGUCCUACGGGUUAUUUGUGAUACGAUGUUAUUGAUAUGAGUUGUGUGUUGAAAUAUUGGUGUCCUAAGGUGCCUUCCGUGAGGCACACAUGUGAAGGAUACACGUUGGAGGGUUUGCAACAUGUUCAUGAUUCGCUUAUAUUGGGUGGCGACAGUGAGAGAAACUUACACCCGAGUAAGGGAGUUGUGCGUCUAUGGGAGUAAAGAGGAUUUGAUGUUUAAUGCCAUGGUGGUUUUACCUUAAUGAUUUCUAGUAGUUGCGGAUGCUUGCUAGAGGUCCAAUCAUAAGUGCAUGUGAUCCAAGUACAGAAAGUGUGUUAGCGUAUGCCUAUCCCUCAUUGAACAUGAUAACUAUCUACCAUGUUAUAUUCAAUUGCCUAUGGACAAUAUUUUUCUUGCGUUACACAAAAAGCUUUCUACUAAACAACACCUAACUUUCUGUUUACUUGUUCGUUAUUAUCUUGCAAACCUAUCUAUUACACCUACUAAGUACUUCUAGUUUUAUUCUUGUUUUAGGUAAAGCAAAUGUUAAGUGUGCGUAGAGUUGUAUCGGUGGUCGAUAGAACUUGAGAGAAUAUUUCUUCUACCUUUAGCCCCUCAAUGGGUUCGACACUCUUAUUUAUCAAAAAGGGCUACAAACGAUCCACUAUACUUGUGGAUUAUCAAGACCUUUUUCUGGUGCCGUUGCCGGGGAGCAAUAGCGUGGGGUGAAUAUUCUCGUGUGUGCUUGUUUGCUUUAUCACUAAGUAGUAACCAAUGGUUGAAUAACCACCCAAAAUCUAUCAUACUACUGAAGCUUUUUACUUCGAUCAUCUUCGAUCCCUAUGUGCUCGUGCUGAAACCCCAACUAGUCUAGUUGAGGACAAAUCAUUAGAUGAGCAUGCUUAUUAUGUGCGACACUGCUUAUCUCAAAAAGGGAACUUUUAUGGCAUCAUAUUAAUACUUUUCAUUGCUAUGUUUGGAAUUUAUGUGAAAUAUAUGAUUUUACUUCUUGUUGUGAAGACCCUAAAAAACACCUUCUCUACCAAUGUAAGUUUAGUGAUAAUGGAAUCUUAUCUUCUUAUGCUAAAGGUGUUUAUAUUUAUUAUGAUGGUGAACAAAUUGAAGAAUUUGUUGCUUUUAAGGGUGCUUAUGAAAUUUCUUCUUUGAUUGAAAAGUAUGAUGCUACUCUUUACAAAUCUGAAAUUUUUGCCAUACUUAAAUAUUGAUAUGAAAAAUAUGCUUAUAAUGCUUAAUUAUGUUAAACUAUAUAUUGAGGACACCUCUCUUGUCCAAGAAGAGAUUAAUCUUUUGCAGGAGUCUAUAGAAAAAUAAAUUGAUGAAACUGUGAGCUCAUUAGAUGAAAAAGAUGAUGAGGAGAGUGAAGAACAAAAGGACGAAGAGCGGAUUUGCUAUCCGUGCGCACCUUCUAAUGAGAGUAACUAUUCAACUCAUACAUUGUUUAAUUUCCCUUUGUGCUUACCAAAGGAUGAAUGCUAUGAUAAGUGCUAUGAUCGUGUUGAUUCUUUUGAAAUAUCCCUUUUUGAUGAAAUUGAUGCUUGCUAUGCUUGUCCAAGAGGCCAAUAUGAAUUAUGCUUGUGAAGAUGAACUUGCUAUUGUUCCUUAUAUUAAGCAUGAUUUUUUUGCUAUUACACCCACACACGAUAGUCAUAUUAUCUGUUUGAAUUCUCCCAACUACACCAUAUCGGAGAAGUUUGCACUUAUUAAGGAUUAUAUUGAUGGCUUGCGUUUUACCACUAUACAUGAUGAUUUUGAAGGAUAUAAUAUGCAUGUGCUUGCUACUCCUACUUGUAAAUAUUAUAAGAGAGGAACUACAUCUCCACCUCUUUAUGUUUCGAGCACUAUAAAAUUGCAAGAAACUACUUAUGCUAUGUAUUGGCCUUUACUUGAUGUGCAUGAAUUGUUCUUUUAUAGCAUGCCAAUGCAUAGGAAGACAGUCAAGCUUCGUCAUUGCAUGAUAUAUGUUGAUUUUUCCUCACUACUAAUUACAAAUCGUUGUUAAUUAAAAUUGUCUUUGAUAUACCUUGGGAUCCGGGUGGAUCAAUUAAUUGAGCACUAUAUGCGUAGCUUAAUGGCUUUAAAGAAAGCGCUGCCAGGGAGACAACCUAUAAACUUUAAAGUGUCAUUUAUUUCUGUUGAGUGCUUUUAAAGGUUUAAAAAAAUAUAGAGGGGAACUUAAAACUUUUUCAAAAAGAGAAGCGAUUGGAAGAUUAUGCAUUGGAGAAGUGAGGGUCGACCUUGAACACUUGUGUUCAUGCUCAUGGAAACAAUGUUGAAUUUUUUAUGAAUUUCUCACAAAAAUAAUUAUUCCCUUGUACAAAUCCAUUGUAUUGUAAAAAUAAUGAGCCAAGAUUUUCCUUUAGGAUGAUUAGAUUGCUUGUUGGUAUGUGCGGUCCAAAAACAGAAACUUUGGCUAUAGUGCAUGAAUUUACAUUUUUUACUGGGACGAGUAAAUUUUCGGAAAUUUUUACACAGUAAUGCUGUCCAAUUUUUUUAUUUCUUAAUAUUUUUUCAGAAUUAUUUUAUUUAUAGAAGUAUGGUCAAUGUUCAGAUUACUACUAACUGUCCUGCUUUUGACACAUUCUGUUUUUGAUGCAUUGUUUAGCUCGUUUUGAUGAAACUGUCGAUUGUAUAGGUGGUAUAAGCAAUGGAGAAGUUAUAUUGUAGUAGUUAUAAUGCAAAAAAUUAUUAAUGAGUUUUCAACAGUACUUAAUGUAGUAAUUUGCAUUAUUAUACUAACCGGUCUCAAGAGUUUUCCGUAAACUUUUGUGUGAAUGAAGUGUUCAAAUAUCGAGUAGGUCUCCAUAUGAGGACAAGGCGGAGAGGCAAAGAGUUCAUGCUUGGGAUGCCCAAGGAAGCCCAAGGAAAUAUCCAAGGAGACUCAAGCGUCUAAGUUUGGGGAUGCCCCGAAAGGUAUUCCAUCUUUCUUCAACAAGUACCAAUAUGUUUUCGUCUUCGUUUCGUUCACGUGAUAUGCGUAAAUCUUGGAGCGUCUUUUGUCUUUCGUUUUCACUUUUAUUUUAUGAACCAUGCUGGUAUGAGAUAGUCCAUGGUUAAUUAUAAAAUGCUCAUUGCACUUCAUUUAUAUCUUUUGAGUAUGGCUUUAUAGAAUGCUUCUUGCACUUCACUUAUAUCAUUUGAAGUUUGGAUUGCCAGUUUCUCUACAUAUAGAAAACCGUUAUUUGUAGAAUGCGUUUCUGCUUCACUUAUAUUUAUUAGAGCAUGGUAUUUUGUAGACAGAAUUAAAGUCUCAUGCUUCACUUAUACCUAUUUAGAGAGUCAAAAGGAAUUGAUCAUUUACAUGGUUAGUCAUACAAUCCUACAUAAAACUUGUAGAUAACUUAGUAUGGUAUGUUUGAUUCCCUGCAAUGGUUUUGUACAUUAAGAUAAUAAUAUGUGGGUGCACUAUUUGAUGAUUGUGGAUUAGUAAGAAUAUUGAUGUUUAGGUUUGUGGUUUAUGAAGCAUGCACGUACAGUCCCUGGUUAUGUGAUGAAGUUGGAGCAUAAUUUGUCCUUUUUUUGAAAUCCUCUGUGCUGUUAUAAUCGGAGUCGUGCGAUGGUUCAAUCCUCUCAACCUUCUACCUAGGGGCAUGCGAGUAGUGCUUUGUUUCGAGAGAGCUAAUAAAAUCUUUCAAUGAGUGUAUGUGUUCUUUAUGGCUAAUGUGAGUCCAUGGCUUAUACGCACUCUAACCUUUCAGCAAUUUGCUAGCCUCUACGGUACCGUGCAUUGCUCUUUCUCACUUCGAGAGUCGGUGCAAACUUCGAUGGUGCAUCCAAACCCCGUGAUGUGAUACGCUCACACAUAAGCCUUACUAUAUCUUCCUCAAAACAACCAUCAUACCUACCUAUUAUGGCAUUUUCAUAGCCAUUCCGAGAUAUAUUGCAAUGCAACUUCCAUCGCUUCCGUUUUGAUGACUUGAGCAUUCAUUGUCAUAUUGCUUUCCAUGAUCGUAAGAUAGCUAGCAUGGUAUUUCCAUGACUUGUCCGUUUUUUAUGUCCGUGUUACGCUAGAUCAUUGCACAUCCCGGUACACUAUCAGAGACAUUCAUAUAAAGUCAUACUUUGUUCUAGGUAUCGAUUUGUAAUAUUGAGUUGUAAGUAAAUAUAAGUAUGAUGAUGAGCUAAUUCUAGUAGUUUGAAAAGCAAAAUUAAAGUCAUAAACUCGAUUUGUAAUAUGAGCGGCUAGAGAAUUUGGAACCUGCUCCCCUUUGGAACAUAAGAACAUCUAUAACCGGAUCCCUUAAAUGACUCCUUAUAUAUUCAUAGACGCGUCGGAUGAGUGACCGGACAGGAGAAAGAAAAAAAUUAACCCCAUCAGACCCCUCAUAUUAUUUUUAUAUGCUCGGGCUGUCCGCAAACCCUCAUAUGCAUCUCAAAUAUGGAGAGUAUAUGAGGGCUCGCGGACAGACACGGACACGCCCCGGCCAGUUCGCCACAUAGGACGCGGCCCCACCACGGACCACAUUUUUUUCUUUAUUUAUUCUUUACUUUCUCUCUAUUUCUCUCCAUCAAUCUUUCUUUCUCUUCAUCAAUCACGUGCAAGUGACCUGACAUAUGGGGAAGAAAAUGACGAGUGUGCAUUCACGUACGGACAAAUAAGGGACACGUCCGGUCACUGACCGGACGCGUUCGCAGGUGUUUAAGGGUCUGGAUUUGCAAGUCGUGGCUGAAGAUACUCUGAGAGCAUCUACAACCGGACCCCUCAAAUGACCUCUCAUACGUCCGCGGAUGCGCCCGGGCUAUCCGCCACAUAGGACGCGACCUCAUACCAGACCUCCUUUUUCUUUUCUUCAUUCGUUCUUUUUCUUCCUCUCAUUCUUUUCAGCAAUCAUGUGCAAGUGACCGGAUAUAUGAGGAAAAAAAAGAAAUGUGGUUCUGCAGACGGACAAAUAGAUGACACACCCUGUCACUAGUUAAAACUUUACACGUUUGCAUCGUAAUCUCAGUUGUGUGAUCUUAAGAAAGCAUCAUGCUUUCAAAGCAAAAGCAUCUAAAAGGCCAUGAGACGUGUAGUAAUCUUCGUAUAAUCCGAUGUUCUACGAAAUUCGGAUACGAGGGUAGACCAAAGGACGCGGUCGUGACUAGUUAAACGGCGCUAAAAAGCAGUUUAUCUCCCUUUAUGAUGCAAUCAAGCCUAUCUCAAACUACUUUAACGGGUUUUUGUUGGCUACCAAAGUACCAAAGUGCAUAUGGUUCCAAAAUCAAAACCAAAACUAAACCCCGUUUCACAUUUCAGGCCACGCGCGUUAAAAACCCGCGAAAAUAGCAUUUUCCAGUCAGCCCUCUUUCCCUCAACUCUGACCACAGCCCAACGAACCACCACACCAGCCAUGGCAACCACCCUCGCCACCGACGUCCGUCUCUCCAUCGCACACCAGACCCGCUUCGCCCUCCGCCUCGCUUCCGCCAUCUCCUCCAACCCCGAGCGUGCUGCCGGCAAUGUCGCCUUCUCUCCGCUCUCCCUGCACGUCGCACUCAGUCUCAUCACCGCUGGCGCGGGCGGCGCCACCCGUGACCAGCUCGUCGCCAUACUCGGAGAUGGGGGUGCAGGUGACGCCAAGGAACUGAACGCGCUCGCGGAGCAGGUGGUGCAAUUUGUGCUCGCCAAUGAGUCC